This 1326-nucleotide ribosomal RNA is filed under the name Triticum aestivum (bread wheat). Its description in RNAcentral is "partial small subunit ribosomal RNA". Lineage: Eukaryota; Viridiplantae; Streptophyta; Magnoliopsida; Poales; Poaceae. The record is from RNAcentral.
AUGGUACCGCCAAGCCAAAGCCACAUGUGCUCGUCGUGCCUUACCCGGCGCAAGGCCACCUGCUACCGCUCCUUGACCUGGUGGUGCUGCUCGCCGGACGGGGGCUCGCGCUCACCGUCGUCGUCACGCCAGGCAACGUCCGGUUCCUCGCCGCAUUGCCGCCGUCCGUGGCCACCGUUGUGCUGCCGUUCCCGUCCUCGCCUUUGCUCCCGGCCGGGUGCAGCGAGAACACCAAGGACCUCCCGGCGGACCUCUUCCGGCCGUUCAUGGCGUCCGUGGUGGGCCUCUCGGCGCCGCUGCUCGCCUGGUGCAAGGCCCAGCCCCGUCCCGUCACGUCUAUUGUCUCCGAUCUGUUCAUGGGCUGGACGCUUCCGCUGGCCGACGAGCUCGGCGUGCCGCACGUGGCCUUCUCGCCCACCAGCGUCCACUACCUCGCAUUCACUCGCUUCCUUUGGCGCCGCAUGCCGACGGGGCACGACGGCGACGGCGAGAGGGUGGUCACCUUCCAGGAGCUGCCCGGCUCGCCUAGCAUCCCGUGGCGCCGCCUGUCGGGGCUGUUCCGGAUGCAUGUGGAGCGUAGAAAGCUCCUGCUUUGUGGUCAACUCGUUCGCCGCACUCGAGGCCGGCUGCUUUAGGGAUGCGCUGGCGGCGAAGCGCGUGUUCAUGGUGGGCCCGCUGUCGGAAGCCGCCGGCGUGCGCGGCGGCGGCAGCGAACCCGCGGAGGUGUGCGCGUGGCUGGACGGGUUCUACGACGGCUCCGUCGUAUACAUCUGCUUCGGGUCGCAGGAGGCGCUGUCGCCGGCGCAGGCGGCGUGCGUGGCCGAAGCUCUGAGGCUGAGCCCGACCGCCGCGUUCGUCUGGGUGGCGAGGGGCAGCACCGUCGUGCCGGAGGGGUUCGAGGCGGCCACGGCAUCGCGCGGGAGGGUGGUCCGGGGCUGGGCGCCGCAGCUGGACAUCCUGCGCCACCGCGCUGUGGGGUGGACCCUCACGCACUGCGGCUCGAACUCGGUGAUGGAGUCGGUCGCCGCCGGCGUGGCGUUGCUCACGUGGCCGAUGGCCGCUGACCAGUUCACGAAAGCGUGGCUGCUCGCUGAGGCUGGCGCGGCCGUGCCGGUGGCGGAGGGUGCGGAUGCCGUGCCCGACGCCGAGAAGAUGGCGAGCGCCAUCUCCAAGGCUGUCGCGUCGGAAGAGGGGGAGUCCACCAGGAAGCGUGCGGUGGAGCUCGGCCGGAAUGUGGCCGCCGCGGUGACGGCGGGCGGAACGUCGUGCAGCGACCUGCAAGAGUUGGUGCGUGCGCUCGGUAACGUCGAUGGACUGGCUACUUAA